This 253-nucleotide ribosomal RNA is filed under the name uncultured bacterium. RNAcentral's name for it is "partial 16S ribosomal RNA". It matches the Rfam family "Bacterial small subunit ribosomal RNA", at positions 524 to 776 of the family's 1533-position model. The record is from RNAcentral.
UACGUAGGGUGCGAGCGUUGUCCGGAAUUAUUGGGCGUAAAGAGCUUGUAGGCGGUUUGUCGCGUCUGCCGUGAAAUUUCGGGGCUCAACCCCGAACUUGCGGUGGGUACGGGCAGACUAGAGUGUGGUAGGGGAGACUGGAAUUCCUGGUGUAGCGGUGAAAUGCGCAGAUAUCAGGAGGAACACCGAUGGCGAAGGCAGGUCUCUGGGCCGUACCUGACACUGAUGCGCGACAGCAUGGGGAGCAAACAGG